GAUUAAGUUAUUAAGGGCGCACGGUGGAUGCCUUGGCACUAGAAGCCGAUGAAGGACGUUACUAACAACGAUAUGCUUUGGGGAGCUGUAAGUAAGCUUUGAUCCAGAGAUUUCCGAAUGGGGAAACCCAGCAUGAGUUAUGUCAUGUUAUCGAUAUGUGAAUACAUAGCAUAUCAGAAGGCACACCCGGAGAACUGAAACAUCUUAGUACCCGGAGGAAGAGAAAGAAAAUUCGAUUCCCUUAGUAGCGGCGAGCGAAACGGGAAGAGCCCAAACCAACAAGCUUGCUUGUUGGGGUUGUAGGACACUCUAUACGGAGUUACAAAGGACGACAUUAGACGAAUCAUCUGGAAAGAUGAAUCAAAGAAGGUAAUAAUCCUGUAGUCGAAAAUGUUGUCUCUCUUGAGUGGAUCCUGAGUACGACGGAGCACGUGAAAUUCCGUCGGAAUCUGGGAGGACCAUCUCCUAAGGCUAAAUACUCUCUAGUGACCGAUAGUGAACCAGUACCGUGAGGGAAAGGUGAAAAGCACCCCGGAAGGGGAGUGAAAUAGAACCUGAAACCGUGUGCUUACAAGUAGUCAGAGCCCGUUAAUGGGUGAUGGCGUGCCUUUUGUAGAAUGAACCGGCGAGUUACGAUUUGAUGCAAGGUUAAGCAGUAAAUGUGGAGCCGUAGCGAAAGCGAGUCUGAAUAGGGCGUUUAGUAUUUGGUCGUAGACCCGAAACCAGGUGAUCUACCCUUGGUCAGGUUGAAGUUCAGGUAACACUGAAUGGAGGACCGAACCGACUUACGUUGAAAAGUGAGCGGAUGAACUGAGGGUAGCGGAGAAAUUCCAAUCGAACCUGGAGAUAGCUGGUUCUCUCCGAAAUAGCUUUAGGGCUAGCCUCAAGUGAUGAUUAUUGGAGGUAGAGCACUGUUUGGACGAGGGGCCCCUCUCGGGUUACCGAAUUCAGACAAACUCCGAAUGCCAAUUAAUUUAACUUGGGAGUC
This 988-nucleotide ribosomal RNA is filed under the name Staphylococcus aureus. Its description in RNAcentral is "partial 23S ribosomal RNA". It matches the Rfam family "Bacterial large subunit ribosomal RNA", at positions 1 to 985 of the family's 2925-position model. The record is from RNAcentral. Lineage: Bacteria; Bacillati; Bacillota; Bacilli; Caryophanales; Staphylococcaceae.